RNAcentral lists this ribosomal RNA (2253 nucleotides) under Staphylococcus aureus C0676. RNAcentral describes it as "bacterial LSU rRNA". It matches the Rfam family "Bacterial large subunit ribosomal RNA", at positions 669 to 2925 of the family's 2925-position model. Lineage: Bacteria; Bacillati; Bacillota; Bacilli; Caryophanales; Staphylococcaceae. The record is from RNAcentral.
UAGCGAAAGCGAGUCUGAAUAGGGCGUUUAGUAUUUGGUCGUAGACCCGAAACCAGGUGAUCUACCCUUGGUCAGGUUGAAGUUCAGGUAACACUGAAUGGAGGACCGAACCGACUUACGUUGAAAAGUGAGCGGAUGAACUGAGGGUAGCGGAGAAAUUCCAAUCGAACCUGGAGAUAGCUGGUUCUCUCCGAAAUAGCUUUAGGGCUAGCCUCAAGUGAUGAUUAUUGGAGGUAGAGCACUGUUUGGACGAGGGGCCCCUCUCGGGUUACCGAAUUCAGACAAACUCCGAAUGCCAAUUAAUUUAACUUGGGAGUCAGAACAUGGGUGAUAAGGUCCGUGUUCGAAAGGGAAACAGCCCAGACCACCAGCUAAGGUCCCAAAAUAUAUGUUAAGUGGAAAAGGAUGUGGCGUUGCCCAGACAACUAGGAUGUUGGCUUAGAAGCAGCCAUCAUUUAAAGAGUGCGUAAUAGCUCACUAGUCGAGUGACACUGCGCCGAAAAUGUACCGGGGCUAAACAUAUUACCGAAGCUGUGGAUUGUCCUUUGGACAAUGGUAGGAGAGCGUUCUAAGGGCGUUGAAGCAUGAUCGUAAGGACAUGUGGAGCGCUUAGAAGUGAGAAUGCCGGUGUGAGUAGCGAAAGACGGGUGAGAAUCCCGUCCACCGAUUGACUAAGGUUUCCAGAGGAAGGCUCGUCCGCUCUGGGUUAGUCGGGUCCUAAGCUGAGGCCGACAGGCGUAGGCGAUGGAUAACAGGUUGAUAUUCCUGUACCACCUAUAAUCGUUUUAAUCGAUGGGGGGACGCAGUAGGAUAGGCGAAGCGUGCGAUUGGAUUGCACGUCUAAGCAGUAAGGCUGAGUAUUAGGCAAAUCCGGUACUCAUUAAGGCUGAGCUGUGAUGGGGAGAAGACAUUGUGUCUUCGAGUCGUUGAUUUCACACUGCCGAGAAAAGCCUCUAGAUAGAAAAUAGGUGCCCGUACCGCAAACCGACACAGGUAGUCAAGAUGAGAAUUCUAAGGUGAGCGAGCGAACUCUCGUUAAGGAACUCGGCAAAAUGACCCCGUAACUUCGGGAGAAGGGGUGCUCUUUAGGGUUAACGCCCAGAAGAGCCGCAGUGAAUAGGCCCAAGCGACUGUUUAUCAAAAACACAGGUCUCUGCUAAACCGUAAGGUGAUGUAUAGGGGCUGACGCCUGCCCGGUGCUGGAAGGUUAAGAGGAGUGGUUAGCUUCUGCGAAGCUACGAAUCGAAGCCCCAGUAAACGGCGGCCGUAACUAUAACGGUCCUAAGGUAGCGAAAUUCCUUGUCGGGUAAGUUCCGACCCGCACGAAAGGCGUAACGAUUUGGGCACUGUCUCAACGAGAGACUCGGUGAAAUCAUAGUACCUGUGAAGAUGCAGGUUACCCGCGACAGGACGGAAAGACCCCGUGGAGCUUUACUGUAGCCUGAUAUUGAAAUUCGGCACAGCUUGUACAGGAUAGGUAGGAGCCUUUGAAACGUGAGCGCUAGCUUACGUGGAGGCGCUGGUGGGAUACUACCCUAGCUGUGUUGGCUUUCUAACCCGCACCACUUAUCGUGGUGGGAGACAGUGUCAGGCGGGCAGUUUGACUGGGGCGGUCGCCUCCUAAAAGGUAACGGAGGCGCUCAAAGGUUCCCUCAGAAUGGUUGGAAAUCAUUCAUAGAGUGUAAAGGCAUAAGGGAGCUUGACUGCGAGACCUACAAGUCGAGCAGGGUCGAAAGACGGACUUAGUGAUCCGGUGGUUCCGCAUGGAAGGGCCAUCGCUCAACGGAUAAAAGCUACCCCGGGGAUAACAGGCUUAUCUCCCCCAAGAGUUCACAUCGACGGGGAGGUUUGGCACCUCGAUGUCGGCUCAUCGCAUCCUGGGGCUGUAGUCGGUCCCAAGGGUUGGGCUGUUCGCCCAUUAAAGCGGUACGCGAGCUGGGUUCAGAACGUCGUGAGACAGUUCGGUCCCUAUCCGUCGUGGGCGUAGGAAAUUUGAGAGGAGCUGUCCUUAGUACGAGAGGACCGGGAUGGACAUACCUCUGGUGUACCAGUUGUCGUGCCAACGGCAUAGCUGGGUAGCUAUGUGUGGACGGGAUAAGUGCUGAAAGCAUCUAAGCAUGAAGCCCCCCUCAAGAUGAGAUUUCCCAACUUCGGUUAUAAGAUCCCUCAAAGAUGAUGAGGUUAAUAGGUUCGAGGUGGAAGCAUGGUGACAUGUGGAGCUGACGAAUACUAAUCGAUCGAAGACUUAAUCAA